GAGAGCAGAGAAGGAAAAUAGAACAACUUUGAGCGGUGGAUCACUCGGCUCGUGCGUCGAUGAAGAGCGCAGCCAGCUGC
Molecule: ribosomal RNA, 80 nt
Filed under: Zaptyx kikaiensis
Lineage: Eukaryota; Metazoa; Mollusca; Gastropoda; Stylommatophora; Clausiliidae
Description: partial 5.8S rRNA
Rfam family: 5.8S ribosomal RNA (bases 25-80)
About the family: 5.8S ribosomal RNA (5.8S rRNA) is a component of the large subunit of the eukaryotic ribosome. It is transcribed by RNA polymerase I as part of the 45S precursor that also contains 18S and 28S rRNA. Functionally, it is thought that 5.8S rRNA may be involved in ribosome translocation.
Source: RNAcentral